This 760-nucleotide ribosomal RNA is filed under the name Escherichia coli. RNAcentral describes it as "partial 23S ribosomal RNA". It matches the Rfam family "Bacterial large subunit ribosomal RNA", at positions 393 to 1153 of the family's 2925-position model. The record is from RNAcentral. Lineage: Bacteria; Pseudomonadati; Pseudomonadota; Gammaproteobacteria; Enterobacterales; Enterobacteriaceae.
CAUGCUGUGAGCUCGAUGAGUAGGGCGGGACACGUGGUAUCCUGUCUGAAUAUGGGGGGACCAUCCUCCAAGGCUAAAUACUCCUGACUGACCGAUAGUGAACCAGUACCGUGAGGGAAAGGCGAAAAGAACCCCGGCGAGGGGAGUGAAAAAGAACCUGAAACCGUGUACGUACAAGCAGUGGGAGCACGCUUAGGCGUGUGACUGCGUACCUUUUGUAUAAUGGGUCAGCGACUUAUAUUCUGUAGCAAGGUUAACCGAAUAGGGGAGCCGAAGGGAAACCGAGUCUUAACUGGGCGUUAAGUUGCAGGGUAUAGACCCGAAACCCGGUGAUCUAGCCAUGGGCAGGUUGAAGGUUGGGUAACACUAACUGGAGGACCGAACCGACUAAUGUUGAAAAAUUAGCGGAUGACUUGUGGCUGGGGGUGAAAGGCCAAUCAAACCGGGAGAUAGCUGGUUCUCCCCGAAAGCUAUUUAGGUAGCGCCUCGUGAAUUCAUCUCCGGGGGUAGAGCACUGUUUCGGCAAGGGGGUCAUCCCGACUUACCAACCCGAUGCAAACUGCGAAUACCGGAGAAUGUUAUCACGGGAGACACACGGCGGGUGCUAACGUCCGUCGUGAAGAGGGAAACAACCCAGACCGCCAGCUAAGGUCCCAAAGUCAUGGUUAAGUGGGAAACGAUGUGGGAAGGCCCAGACAGCCAGGAUGUUGGCUUAGAAGCAGCCAUCAUUUAAAGAAAGCGUAAUAGCUCACUGGUCGAG